UGAAAAUAAAAAAAAAAAGAUGUUGGUAUUUAGUAGAUAAAAAUUUAAUUUUGUUAUAUUAAUUAUUAAACAAUAGAAUUGAUCCAUGCGAUAAAAUUUUACAACUGAUGUAGGCAAAUAAUAAAAAGAGAGAGUGAGAGAGAGAAAAAAUAAAAAGAGAAAGUAAGAGAGAGUGUGUGUGUGUGAGAGAGAGGAAAAAAAAAAAGAAAAGAAAGUAAAAG
This 221-nucleotide long non-coding RNA is filed under the name Ananas comosus (pineapple). RNAcentral's name for it is "long non-coding RNA (ACOM_LNC024167)". The record is from RNAcentral. Lineage: Eukaryota; Viridiplantae; Streptophyta; Magnoliopsida; Poales; Bromeliaceae.